RNAcentral lists this long non-coding RNA (233 nucleotides) under Lathyrus oleraceus (garden pea). Its description in RNAcentral is "Pisum sativum (pea) long non-coding RNA (PSAT_LNC012005)". The record is from RNAcentral. Lineage: Eukaryota; Viridiplantae; Streptophyta; Magnoliopsida; Fabales; Fabaceae.
CAUAUUCUACCUUCAUUCACUCCAUGUGAUAUAUCAGUUGUCUAUGAGCCAAAUACAAUAUACCUUUAAGCUCCAUCUUGCACCUCUUUGUGAACCAAGAGUUGUUUGUGCUAUGAAACCAAACACCUAAUUCCUUUGUUUUCGGUUGUUCUAAUACAAUGAUACUGUGUUGUAGGCCCUCACUUGUUGGUUCAUACCAGUUUACUCUUAGGUUCAUAUUUCACCCAUUGUUG